AACGAACGCUGGCGGCAUGCCUAACACAUGCAAGUCGAACGAGACCUUCGGGUCUAGUGGCGCACGGGUGCGUAACGCGUGGGAACCUGCCUUUAGGUUCGGAAUAACUCAGAGAAAUUUGAGCUAAUACCGGAUGAUGUCUUCGGACCAAAGAUUUAUCGCCUUUAGAUGGGCCCGCGUUGGAUUAGCUAGUUGGUGGGGUAAAGGCCUACCAAGGCGACGAUCCAUAGCUGGUCUGAGAGGAAGAUCAGCCACACUGGGACUUAGACACGGCCCAGACUCCUACGGGAGGCAGGAGUGGGGGAUAGUGGAAAAAGGGGGGAAGGCCGAACCCGGCAUGCCGGGUGAAUGAGGAAGGGCGUAAGGUUUUAAAGCCCUUUUAACCCAGAAGGUAAUGACGGUAACGGGAGAAAAAGCCCCGGCUAACUUCGUG
RNAcentral lists this ribosomal RNA (433 nucleotides) under uncultured bacterium. RNAcentral describes it as "partial 16S ribosomal RNA". It matches the Rfam family "Bacterial small subunit ribosomal RNA", at positions 29 to 507 of the family's 1533-position model. The record is from RNAcentral.